RNAcentral lists this ribosomal RNA (453 nucleotides) under uncultured bacterium. RNAcentral's name for it is "partial 16S ribosomal RNA". It matches the Rfam family "Bacterial small subunit ribosomal RNA", at positions 28 to 523 of the family's 1533-position model. The record is from RNAcentral.
GAUGAACGCUGGCGGCAUGCCUAACACAUGCAAGUCGAACGGAUGGCUUCGGCCAUUAGUGGCGGACGGGUGAGUAACGCGUGGGAACCUGGCCUUAGGUUCGGAAUAACCAGUGGAAACGCUGGCUAAUACCGGAUGAGCCCCUUCGGGGGGAAAGAUUUAUCGCCUUUGGAUGGGCCCGCGUUGGAUUAGCUAGUUGGUGGAGUAAAGGCCUACCAAGGCGACGAUCCAUAGCUGGUUUGAGAGGAUGAUCAGCCACACUGGGACUGAGACACGGCCCAGACUCCUACGGGAGGCAGCAGUGGGGAAUAUUGGACAAUGGGCGCAAGCCUGAUCCAGCAAUGCCGCGUGAGUGAUGAAGGCCUUCGGGUUGUAAAGCUCUUUCACCGAUGACGAUAAUGACGGUAGUCGGAGAAGAAGCCCCGGCUAACUCCGUGCCAGCCGCCGCGGUAA